UAAUUCGACGCAACGCGAAGAACCUUACCUGGGCUCGAAAUGUAGUGGACCGGAGUAGAAAUAUUCCUUCCCCGCAAGGGGCCGCUAUAUAGGUGCUGCAUGGCUGUCGUCAGCUCGUGUCGUGAGAUGUUGGGUUAAGUCCCGCAACGAGCGCAACCCUUAUCCCCAGUUGCCAUCAUUUAGUUGGGCACUCUGGUGAAACCGCCUCGGAUAACGGGGAGGAAGGUGGGGAUGACGUCAAGUCCUCAUGGCCUUUAUGUCCAGGGCUACACACGUGCUACAAUGACCGGUACAAACCGUCGCAAACCCGCGAGGGGGAGCUAAUCGGAAAAAGCCGGCCUCAGUUCGGAUUGCAGUCUGCAACUCGACUGCAUGAAGCUGGAAUCGCUAGUAAUCGCGGAUCAGAACGCCGCGGUGAAUACGUUCCCGGGCCUUGUACACACCGCCCGUCACAUCACGAAAGUGGGUUGCACUAGAAGUCGGUGCGCUAACCGCAAGGAUGCAGCCGCCCAAGGUGUAAUUCAUGAUUGGGGUGAAGU
Molecule: ribosomal RNA, 539 nt
Filed under: uncultured bacterium
Lineage: Bacteria
Description: bacterial SSU rRNA
Rfam family: Bacterial small subunit ribosomal RNA
Source: RNAcentral